UGGCGAUGAUUAAAACGGAUUUAUCCGCGCUUCUGAGAGAAAUCAAUGAAGCAUAAACAAAAAAUUGGUUGAAUUUCUUGAUAUGAGCCU
Capsicum annuum is the source of this 90-nucleotide non-coding RNA. Lineage: Eukaryota; Viridiplantae; Streptophyta; Magnoliopsida; Solanales; Solanaceae. The record is from Rfam.